This 253-nucleotide ribosomal RNA is filed under the name uncultured bacterium. Its description in RNAcentral is "partial 16S ribosomal RNA". It matches the Rfam family "Bacterial small subunit ribosomal RNA", at positions 524 to 776 of the family's 1533-position model. The record is from RNAcentral.
UACGUAGGUGGCAAGCGUUGUCCGGAUUUCCUGGGCGUAAAGAGCGCGCAGGCGGUCGUUCAAGUCGCGUGUGAAAGCCCCCGGCUCAACUGGGGAGGGUCACGCGAUACUGAUCGACUCGAAGGCAGGAGAGGGUAGUGGAAUUCCCGGUGUAGUGGUGAAAUGCGUAGAUAUCGGGAGGAACACCAGUGGCGAAAGCGGCGCUCUGGGCCUAAACUGACGCUGAGGGGCGAAAGCGUGGGGAGCGAACGGG